ACGUUGUAAAAUGUAUUUUAUUUUCUUGUUUAGACAGAAACAAGACCUUUUAAAUUAAUAUUUGCCGAAGUAAUCCUUGACCGUGAUACUACUAUGUUACAACUUCUAUAAAUAAACUAUACCGAUGCGAGUAUUAUUAGAUAACUAAUAGAUUUGACAAUAAAUGUCAUUGCCGUCUUAAGCAACCAAUCCACAGAUAGAUUCAAUUCAUAAUUAAAGGUAAAGGUGCUUUUGAGUCACUGGAUAUGAAAUGGAGUUUUGGAGUCGUCGAAACAGUGGCCCUGCUCCAAUUUGUUCCUUUAUUUGUUUUGGCCUCUCUGGAGCCUCUGGUUCUGCCUGACGUCCACGCUGUGUCUCUGGACCGGAGGGUGGAGCUCUGAGACGCAACGCAAAAGUGUG
RNAcentral lists this long non-coding RNA (399 nucleotides) under Betta splendens (Siamese fighting fish). Its description in RNAcentral is "lncRNA (ENSBSLG00000004939.1)". Lineage: Eukaryota; Metazoa; Chordata; Actinopteri; Anabantiformes; Osphronemidae. The record is from RNAcentral.